GACGAACGCUGGCGGCGUGCCUAAUACAUGCAAGUAGAACGCACAGUUUAUACCGUAGCUUGCUACACCAUAGACUGUGAGUUGCGAACGGGUGAGUAACGCGUAGGUAACCUGCCUGGUAGCGGGGGAUAACUAUUGGUAACGAUAGCUAAUACCGCAUCAUAUUGAUUAUUGCAUGAUAAUUGAUUGAAAGAUGCUAUUGCAUCACUACCAGAUGGACCUGCGUUGUAUUAGCUAGUAGGGGAGGUAACGGCUCACCUAGGGGGAGGUACAUAGCCGACCUGAGGAGGAGGUCGGGCACACUGGGAAUGGGACACGGGCCAGACUCCCACGGGAGGCAACAGUAGGGGAUUUUCGGCAAUAGGCGGAAGGCUGGCCGCGCAAAGCCGGGGGAGGGGAGGAGGGUUUCGGGUCGUAAAGGUCUGUUGUAAGAGAAGGAAGAGUGGGAGAGUGGAAAGUUCACGCUGUGACGGUAUCUAACCAGAAAGGGACGGCUAACUACGUG
RNAcentral lists this ribosomal RNA (505 nucleotides) under uncultured bacterium. RNAcentral's name for it is "partial 16S ribosomal RNA". It matches the Rfam family "Bacterial small subunit ribosomal RNA", at positions 28 to 507 of the family's 1533-position model. The record is from RNAcentral.